Molecule: ribosomal RNA, 264 nt
Filed under: uncultured bacterium
Lineage: Bacteria
Description: partial 16S ribosomal RNA
Rfam family: Bacterial small subunit ribosomal RNA
Source: RNAcentral
GUCCAUGCCGUAAACGAUGUCGACUAGGUGUUGGGGAACUUGAUUCCUUAGUGCCGCAGCUAACGCAUUAAGUCGACCGCCUGGGGAGUACGGUCGCAAGACUAAAACUCAAAUGAAUUGACGGGGGCCCCGCACAAGCGGUGGAGCAUGUGGUUUAAUUCGAUGCAACGCGAAGAACCUUACCUACUCUUGACAUCCAGAGAAUCCUGUAGAGAUACGGGAGUGCCUUCGGGAAUUCUGAGACAGGUGCUGCAUGGCUGUCGU